Molecule: ribosomal RNA, 540 nt
Filed under: Triticum aestivum (bread wheat)
Lineage: Eukaryota; Viridiplantae; Streptophyta; Magnoliopsida; Poales; Poaceae
Description: partial small subunit ribosomal RNA
Source: RNAcentral
AUGUACGUGAAGAACGGGCUCACUCGGGUGGCCAUGGAGAUGGUGGCUCAGAUGCAGGAUGAGGACGGGGACUUCGACACAGAGACGAGCUACGUGUACAUCAAGAGGAAGCCAUUGAAGUCUUUGAAGACACAACAUUACAUCAUCAGCAUCAUAUCAGCAUCAUCGGAGGCCAUGGCAUCAACAUACGAGGAGACAGCCACGAGCGCCAAGGAGAGCCCGACGAUCGGCGCAGAAGCAGAGGCCCGGGCGAGCUCCAAGUCGAUGUACUCGAACGUGCAGUCGUCCUUGUCCCACAGAUCGGAGCUCGACGCCUCGGCCGCCGGUUCUCCGUUCCGCACCCCGCCCCCGCCGCCUUCCAGCGGAGCAUUGUCCACCGAGGAGCUAGCCAGCAAGGAGCUACUGGUGGCUGACGCGGCAGUGCUGAGGAUGAAACAGGAGGAGGAGGAGGCCGACGAUCAGAGCAUAGUGUUCCUGCCGAGUGCCGAGCACCUGCUGCACCGCGAGGAGCGCCGCCUCCAGCAUGUGACCGCGACGUGA